RNAcentral lists this transfer RNA (72 nucleotides) under Comamonas sp. JNW. It matches the Rfam family "tRNA". Rfam says of the family: Transfer RNA (tRNA) molecules are approximately 80 nucleotides in length. Their secondary structure includes four short double-helical elements and three loops (D, anti-codon, and T loops). Further hydrogen bonds mediate the characteristic L-shaped molecular structure. tRNAs have two regions of fundamental functional importance: the anti-codon, which is responsible for specific mRNA codon recognition, and the 3' end, to which the tRNAs corresponding amino acid is attached (by aminoacyl-tRNA synthetases). tRNAs cope with the degeneracy of the genetic code in two manners: having more than one tRNA (with a specific anti-codon) for a particular amino acid; and 'wobble' base-pairing, i.e. permitting non-standard base-pairing at the 3rd anti-codon position. The record is from Rfam by way of RNAcentral. Lineage: Bacteria; Pseudomonadati; Pseudomonadota; Betaproteobacteria; Burkholderiales; Comamonadaceae. RNAcentral also lists the same sequence under 1 other name.
CUCUCCGUAGUUCAAUGGAUAGAACGAGUGCCUCCUAAGCGCUAGAUACAGGUUCGAUUCCUGUCGGGGGGA